GAUGAACGCUGGCGGCGUGCCUAAUACAUGCAAGUCGAGCGAACGGACGAGAAGCUUGCUUCUCUGAUGUUAGCGGCGGACGGGUGAGUAACACGUGGAUAACCUACCUAUAAGACUGGGAUAACUUCGGGAAACCGUAGCUAAUACCGGAUAAUAUUUUGAACCGCAUGGUUCAAAAGUGAAAGACGGUCUUGCUGUCACUUAUAGAUGGAUCCGCGCUGCAUUAGCUAGUUGGUAAGGUAACGGCUUACCAAGGCAACGAUGCAUAGCCGACCUGAGAGAGAGGACGGCAAAACUGGGGAAGAGGCACGGAAGGGAAUACGCAGGGAGGAAGAAGGAGGGAAUAGUAAGCAAUGGGGGAAGGACUAACAGAGAAAUGAUGAGUGAAUGAGGAAGGUAUAAGGAACGGAAAACAAGUUUAGGAGGGAAAAACAGAAGUGUAAGGAAAAGGGCACAUAAAGAGGUGAAAUAAUCAGAAAGCAACGGAUAAAUCAGAG
RNAcentral lists this ribosomal RNA (497 nucleotides) under uncultured bacterium. RNAcentral's name for it is "partial 16S ribosomal RNA". The stretch from base 16 to 379 matches the Rfam family "Bacterial small subunit ribosomal RNA", at positions 43 to 396 of the family's 1533-position model. The record is from RNAcentral.